AUUGAACGCUGGCGGCAGGCCUAACACAUGCGAGUCGAACGGUAACAGGAAGCAGCUUGCUGCUUUGCUGACGAGUGGCGGACGGGUGAGUAAUGUCUGGGAAACUGCCUGAUGGAGGGGGAUAACUACUGGAAACGGUAGCUAAUACCGCAUAACGUCGCAAGACCAAAGAGGGGGACCUUCGGGCCUCUUGCCAUCGGAUGUGCCCAGAUGGGAUUAGCUAGUAGGUGGGGUACCGGCUCACCUAGGCGACGAUCCCUAGCUGGUCUGAGAGGAUGACCAGCCACACUGGAACUGAGACACGGUCCAGACUCCUACGGGAGGCAGCAGUGGGGAAUAUUGCACAAUGGGCGCAAGCCUGAUGCAGCCAUGCCGCGUGUAUGAAGAAGGCCUUCGGGUUGUAAAGUACUUUCAGCGGGGAGGAAGGGAGUAAAGUUAAUACCUUUGCUCAUUGACGUUACCCGCAGAAGAAGCACCGGCUAACUCCGUG
This 490-nucleotide ribosomal RNA is filed under the name uncultured bacterium. RNAcentral describes it as "partial 16S ribosomal RNA". It matches the Rfam family "Bacterial small subunit ribosomal RNA", at positions 30 to 507 of the family's 1533-position model. The record is from RNAcentral.